AAUACCUCUCCCAUUAGCCCACAGCCUCCCUUCCUAAGACACACUCUCUCUGGAAAGUUAUCUCCUCACAGCCAGGGACAUCGAGGCAGAGAACCCAGAGCUCUGCCCAUUUCCAAGCAUAACCAGUGCUCUAUGGUACACACACUGAACCUUGGCUCAAGGCUGGUGUUUCGCUAGCCUCUUUUCAGUAAGUCAGUCUGUCUUCAGGUUAGUGGGAGAAAGUAGGAGGGUAACAGUGUGAGUGCAAGGAGGGCUUGUUGCCACGUUCAGUGGGUGUGUUUCUAGUUAGACACGAAUCCCAGCCAAAGCCGUCCAACUGAAGCCACCCACCACUGUUCAAGCUGCCAACCUAAAGAACGCAGCAAGGACAACGCUGCCUCUGGUCUUCUUGCCCUGGAAUGGUUUCCGGUCCUGCUGGCUCUUCCCCCAGAAUCCCUGUUACUGCCUUGUAGAAUCCUUGGGCCUCCAGAAAUAUCACACUGGGAACCCCAUUCAGAUUUAUGGACAUGUUUUCCUGUCUCUUUUGUAACUGCUGCUAUCUAACUGUGGGCUGCUAACAUGCCUCCGUGGGAUCAAGUGGUGACAGGGGUGUUGACUUCGAAGGAUUGCUAGGAUUAGUCGGCAGGACCAUUGAUGACUGCUAAGGAGACACGUGGGAGGGUCCUCCGACAGCACCUUGCUCUCCAAGUGAAAAAUAAAAUGGUGUGUGGCUCCUCCUCCAAGAGAAGUGAUGGGUGUCUGCUCUAGAAGACUGGGGCUCCUUCUACUUGUUGGUUCCUUGACCACCGCUCCACAGAAGCUGCAGGAAGGAGAAAGGGCAGCUUCUGAUUUCAUAAGCAUCACGGUUGGUUCAUGCCUCCAAAUAUGUUCUCCUUAUGCUGUCUGGCUGUCACAAGCCCCAGGCUUUCGCUGCAGCACCCAUUUGAGUCUUUGACUUAAUCAUCCAUCUUCACCUUGGGGGAAGAAUUAGUGUGGUGAGGACUGAAGAUCCUUGCCAAAGUGGCCUGGGCCAUUGCUGACCUGCUGUGGUCGACCUAAUCUUGCUCCCUCAGCUUCUGGGAUGACAUCCAUGUGGACUUCUAUGCUUCUCUUUCAAAACUCCUUGUGUUUUUCUUGACAUUAGUCAACAGCGGUGAUGGAAUAUACCCCGUUAAAGCCUUGUCCCGACACCAUGUGACAGGUGAAGAAGCUGAAGUAUGCUCUGUAAGUAUAUUCAUGUAUGUAUGUUUAACCAGUUGACAGUGACAGCACAGCCAGAGCCACCAAUUCACACUGACAGGCAUGCAUGCAUGCAUACUAUUGCGAAUCAUGCUUCGUAUGACUCAAGACUAAAAGAUUGAAAUGCCCACUUCACCCGAAUCCAUGCUAUACCAACUGGUUGCCAGCAACCAGACCAAGUGUAGGAGCCCGCUCUUACAAAGUCAGCGAGGGUUGACUCGCUCGGGAUCCUCGAAGCCAAAGGCAAGUCAGGUGAAAGAAGCUGAGACAGAAGACAGGAUAGAAUCCGGAGGUCUGCCCGGCGGCCGACUGGUCAAACCAAGCAGCCACACAGUCCAGAGUUUAUUUCGGAACUUACAUAUAUACAAAAGCAGGAUAAAGUAUGGCACAGACGGUCAAUCAGUAUCUAGCCACGAGACCAUCCCUGUCCUUGAGCGAGCAGCCUCCUCUCCAACAUGUGCUUGCUGCUCGGAAGCAGCCUCACUUUCUAUCUUGAUGUUCCUGAGGUUUGUCGUCAGCAGUAUACAGUCUACUAGAUAGAGUGUUCUUUUCUCACGGGCUAAAUCAGAAGUCUCUCACAGUCCUCAAGGUUAUAGGAAAAAACAAAGCAGGCAAACUUGAACUCAAAAGACUUAUAAGUCAGAAUGGACUCCAGAUGGAAACUGAGUCACACAUGGGCACCCACAACCACGAGCCUCAUUCCUGCAAGGUUUGCCUGGUAGAGGUGACAUCAUGCUGGGGUUCUGAUAUUUUGACCCUGCUGCAGAAUUGGGCAUCCAUCAAGGAGUAAUCCGGGUCUUAAAAAUAUGAAGCGUUGCCUUUUCUUUUUAGUUCUGCAUUUUCUGAGCUUUCAUAAAGGCCCUGUGCUGCUUUUGAUUCCGUUCGCUGUUCCCAAUAUUUCUCCCUACGUUUGCUCUCUCUCUUCUUGCCUUAGAAAUCCUGCUGCCCUAAGAAAUGUAACAGAAUUAAGGACAAAACGGCAAGAUGGCUCUGUUGGAAAAGUGCUUGCUGCCAAGUCUGAGGGCCUGAGUUCAAAUCCCCAGAACCCAUGUAAAUAGUCAGAUGUGGUGGCAAACAUUUAUGAUCCUAACAACAACAAGAUGGGAGGAGGAGACACACAGAUCCCUGCUAAGAUUGCUGGCUAGCUCUUCUAAUUUACUUGGUGAAGUUCCAGGCCUGUGAGAAACACUGUCUCAAAGAAAAUGGGAAGCACCUGAAGAAUGAAACCCAAGAUUGUCCUCUGAUCCCCACAUGUGUGUAUGUACACUGCACACACACGCACACAGGCACGCACAUGCACACAUGUAUGCACACACACACUUGUGCUCACACAUGAAAAUGUGCAUACACAGACGUGCAAAUGUACGCACACACAUUUCAAAAUGAAAUUUGAGUUAAUAUAGGAAAAUAAAACCCAUCAAAUAUCCUGACAUCUCAUAUGCUAAGCAUUAGAGAGCUCACUUUGCUCACUGCUACAAGGAGAUACGCUAGAGCGGUGCACACCUUACCCUCCCAUGCUGUGUUCAAAGCACUUACUCACAACAAUACAGUAUUUCUUGUGUGAUAUGCUGCUGUUCUUAAAUGCAUGAGAACUGAGGAUCUCCUGGCCGGACACCUGGAAAGAACCGUUUGUGCCUGACUUUUCUGGGUUACAAUCUCUCCCUUUUAAUCUUCAUGGACUGGGAAAGCCCAAUGGUGGACAUUGGAACUGUUCUUUAUAAGUCCAAUGUUGUGGAUGAAGCCUCAUUGUGAGAGGAUGUUGGUGGGAGAUCUGGAAACUGACGGGUGGGGUGGGGCUCUCAUCUGCAGUGAGCCUUCUGCGCAGCGCACAUUGCUUUGUGCUUCCUUGUUGGUCCUCCCGCAUAAGAGAGUGAAUUUCUGCUCCUUCCUCGCCACCAUUUCCUUGCUUUCUCUUUCUUCCCUUUCAUCCAUGAGACUAUAUUCAUAGGAUGGAAGAGGAGGCC
Molecule: non-coding RNA, 3182 nt
Organism: Myodes glareolus (Bank vole)
Lineage: Eukaryota; Metazoa; Chordata; Mammalia; Rodentia; Cricetidae
Source: RefSeq, a predicted model, not a curated record